Molecule: ribosomal RNA, 497 nt
Filed under: uncultured bacterium
Lineage: Bacteria
Description: partial 16S ribosomal RNA
Rfam family: Bacterial small subunit ribosomal RNA
Source: RNAcentral
GAUGAACGCUGGCGGCGUGCCUAAUACAUGCAAGUCGAGCGAACAGACGAGGAGCUUGCUCCUUUGACGUUAGCGGCGGACGGGUGAGUAACACGUGGGUAACCUACCUAUAAGACUGGGAUAACUUCGGGAAACCGGAGCUAAUACCGGAUAAUAUUUCGAACCGCAUGGUUCGAUAGUGAAAGAUGGCUUUGCUAUCACUUAUAGAUGGACCUGCGCCGUAUUAGCUAGUUGGUAAGGUAACGGCUUACCAAGGCAACGAUUCGUAGCCGACCUGAUAGGGUGAUCGGCCACACUGGAACUGAGCCGCGGUCCAGACUCCUACGGGAGGCAGCAGUAGGGAAUCUUCCGCAAUGGGCGAAAGCCUGACGGAGCAACGCCGCGUGAGUGAUGAAGGUCUUCGGAUCGUAAAACUCUGUUAUGAGUGAAGAACAAACGUGUAAGUAACUGUGCACGUCUUGACGGUACCUAAUCAGAAAGCCACGGCUAACUACGUG